UUAGUUUACAGCAUAUAUAUAGUGUAGUAUUGUCCCACAUUGGUAGAAGAGUAGUAUGUCCUUGUAUAGUAUAGCUAUAAAUAAGGACCUCUUGUAUUAUAUUGUUCAUCCAAUAUCAAUAAUAUAUUUUCUUACGUGCCUUCUCACACCCUCAUAUAUCUCCUCGUCCGUUACUAAAGCACAUAAAACAAGUUGCUGCUGAUGUGAUAGGGAUGGGCCAUUCCUCAUGAUCAUCUUGUUUACAGCAGGCAGACUAGCAGCAGAUGAUCCCAUCAAGGCUUUGUAGAAGUGAAUAAUUUCUAAUUUGAUCUCUUCAGGAUCCUGUAGUUUUAUUCAUGUUAAGGAAUUGAGUUCCAGAAUUUGCUUUCUUUGUUUCUUCUCCUUCAUCACUGCUGAAAAAUAUUUACUAUUUGAAUCCCCCAACUUUAUCCAGCUCACUCUAGACUUUUGUUGGAGGAUACUCUCUUCAAUUAAUGACCACCUUUCUAAUUGCUGCAGGCAGAUUUUUUCUUGAUCAACCAAUGCAUCGGUAUAUUGUUCUGUGAGUUGUGCUUGUAUAUCUUUCAGAUCUUUUCUACUCUGAUCAAUCUUCUCUGUUAUUCCUUUGUACUCUUCUGCGUUCAAUUGUUGAAACUUUGGUUUGAGCGCUUUCAGUUUCAACCAGAUAUUCUUCAUCCUGCUGCUAGUUUUAUUAUUGGCCCACUCUUCUUCAACAAUUUGUAAGAAAGAUGAAUGAUCUGCCUAGACAUUGAAGAAUCUAAAAGGUAUUUUAAUAUUAUUCAUAGUGGUCGUGAUGGGAAUAAGCAUAGGAGCAUGAUCAUACACAAAUGGUUCCCCAUAUUGCAAAAUCAAAUGGCCAAACUGCAUUAUCCUUUCAUCAUUUCCCAGUGCCCUAUCAAGCCUACUACAUACCCUAGCACUUUCAAGUUACUUAUUAGACCAGGUGUAAUAUUCUCCAUUCCAUAGCAAUUCAUUUACCAGCAAAUUGUGAUAGCAAUCAGAAAAAUCUUUGAUUUCUGCCCAUAGUACAUAGGAUUCGGACAUUCUGUCUUGAAGGUAUAACAUUGUAUUGAAGUCUCCACAUAUCAGCCACGGUUUAGUAAUUUGAGGAGCUAUACUCUGUAGUUGUUCCCAUAAUGUUUUUCUUUGCUCGAUAGUAUUGUAUCCAUAAACAGUCCAUACCAUCAUGUCUUCCCAUCACCUGGCAAUGAAUAUAUUGAGCAUCACUAAACACUGCUUGUAUAUCAUAGGCUCUAUCACCCCAAACAACCCAAAUUCUACCAUUCACUGCAUCUUUGUAGUUGUUGAUCAUCUUCCAUCCAGGAGCUAUCUUAUCUGCUACAUAUUUUGCUUUUUUAUUUUCUUUUACUUUUGUUUCUACUAGGCCAGCUAUCUUGAUGUGGUUGUCUUGUAAAUAUUUUCUCAAUUUCUUCUGCUUAUACCUCUUAUUUAUUCCUCUCAUAUUCCAUAUCAACCAAGUCAUUAGGUAUUGUGAGGUCCUCCACCUUCAUCAGGAGGCAUUAGAUAAUGAUCUCCUAUAUGAAGAGUUUGAAACCCAUUUUUAAUUGGAACAGAAUAGCUCCCAAUUGGUUCUUCAUCAUUCUUUGCCACUGCUUUACCCCUUGUAUUUUGUUGUUUGUGAUGUGGACUUUGAAUUUGCGCAGGUGUAUUACUAGCUUGCUGAAUCAUACUUGUUGAUCCCACAGUCCCUGCUCCAUUUUUCUCAUUUUGCUGUUGAAUAUUACCCCUGAUUUCCUGUUGAACAUUCUGCUUAUUUGUGUUGCCAUUUUGCUGCUUUAGUCCCUUUACUUGCCAGGUGGGAAUUGUUCUUUUUGGCAUUCUUCUUCUUCUAGGCUAUUGGAAUCUCUCUUCUUGUGCUGCCCUCUCUUCAUACUUAGCUUUAUCACAGUCAUGCCCAAUUUGUUGAAUUCUCCACAGAAUUCAGGUUUCCAUUCAUACACUACGCCCUGUUGGAACUUCCUACCCGUAGGAUCUAUCACUGUCACUUCAGUAGGAAGUCUCUUGGUAACAUUUACUUCAAUCAAUAUCCUAGCAUAUGAAAUCCUUGUCUGUUUAGUUGUGCAUUCAUCAGCGAAUAGAGGUUUGCCAAGGGUGCUUGCCAUUCUUCUCAAAGAGUUACACCCCCAACAGUUCAUUGGAAGUUUGGGGAAUUUCACCCAUAAUGGAAUUUCAGUAAGAAACUCAUUAUUGAAGUCAUAAUCUGGACUCCAUUGUUUGAGUACAAUUGGCCUGCUAUUGAUGCUAUAAGGACCACCAUACAAAAUUGUCUGUAGAUCACUUAUGCUUUGGAAUUUCACCACAUAGUAUCCUUCCUCAUGGAGAUAAAUGUCUGGUUCUGCUAUAUUAUUCCAGGUUUGAGCUACAAAUCUCUUCAUAUAAUUGUAUCCAGGAAUUUCUCCAAUUAUGUAAACUAUCAAUGCACAUUUUCACUUUUUUGUCUCCACUUCGACGUCAUCUUUGUCUAAUUUGACUACAAAUUGCCCAUCAAUUAUCUCAGGGGUAAUAUAUGAUAGCGACAUACCAUUUCUGCAGCUCGAUUCCCUAAGAAAAGAUUUGUCCACGGCGCAUCUGGGAGCUCCACUCCCUGCGGAUCUAGUACUUGGGUUUGCAGUUUGUUUUGUUCUUUAGUUACCACUAGGUUGUCCUUCUGUUCUUUGGCUAGUUUCAAUGAGCUUGCUUUAUCAUGAGGUUUUACUGCACUCAAAUUGAGUUUCUUCGUUGGUCCGAUUGAAGAACUAUUGGACCCUAAUUUUAGCGAACUUGCUUCAAAUUGGAUACCAAUCGGGGUUACUACUCGCUAAUCGUUCCCUUGCUCAAGUGUUUCUGCAAUUACUCGAGUACUGACUGAGCUCCCUAUCAUAACAAGCGGUUGUUUUUUGAGUCUUCCUCGUCUAGCCAUGGCUACCCUCCGACGGUGCACGUUAGCGUAACAUGCGCCGAGAGCUAAAAGCUAGAGAGAGAACUAUUUACUACGUUUAGAAAUAUUUUUUAUGUUCUGGGCUCUUUGAUGAGCUUUUAUUACAAGUAUUUUGGACCUUCUUAUCUCUUUUGUUCACGAGAAGUUUUGUUAGCAGUUAGUUCUUAGUAAUAAAAAAUAGAUUUUGCAGGUUUUCCUAAUCAACUUGACUGCAUGGAGGCAAACCGAAGGAAGAGCAAAAGGAAGAACGGGUUAUUCAUAUUUCAUUUGAUGGUCAGAGUCGAAUUGAAAGUUAAGCAGUGGGAAUUCUAAAGAUUCCCCGAGAGGAAAAAUAGAAAUGUCACCUACGUUACCCCAUAAUAUGUGGAAGUAUCGACGUAAUUUUUUCAAAAGUAUCAGUAGACAGACGCAGAAAGAGAUCAUAUUCCCUAAGGCCUUUGUUAUCGCUUUAAACUUUCCUAUUUCACAUAGGAAGCCCGCUCAUGUUGGUUUAGAUCUCUCUCUUUUGGAUAUAACGAUGUAUGUGCGCUCUCAUCUUGUUUCUUUUAUGGCUUUGUUCUACUAACUGUGAAUUCACUGUUCCUAACAGUUGAAAUAAGUAACUCUAUUUUAUUAGAUCAGGACAUUAUAAUGCAGUUGUCCUCUUGCCCA
Molecule: long non-coding RNA, 3589 nt
Filed under: Nicotiana tabacum (common tobacco)
Lineage: Eukaryota; Viridiplantae; Streptophyta; Magnoliopsida; Solanales; Solanaceae
Description: long non-coding RNA (NTAB_LNC011305)
Source: RNAcentral